UCAAGACCAGCCUCUCUCCACAUCUGUGCACACCUGCCACAGUGCACAUCUCAGAAGCAUGCUUUUUGUCAUGGGCUUCACUCUGCUUUAAGUGUCCCAUGACCCACCAACAUCACUACUAGUAGAGACAGAACUCCAUGGAGCACUCCAGAGGAGCACAAGGAGAUAUUCACACUGAUCAUGGUCUUGAGAAGGAUGGUGACGAUGAUAACUUUAAGUGAAAGUACCAACAAUAAGAGGCAUCCUGGAGGAAUUUACAAGCCCCUGCUCUGUCUUCCAGGGAUACCAAGAGUACUUAAUAAAUAACUAAGGCUGAAUCCCUUGACAUCCCUCGACAUGCAGGUCUGAGAGGAAAAAGGUAGAGAAAGCGUGCUGAGAGAAGACCCAGAUUAUGGCCCCAGCUCUGCCACUGACCAAGGUAAAAAUCACUGAGAUUUCCUGAGCUUCCGUCUUUCUUCAAGAAAACAUGAGAGCUGCAGCACUUCCCAGAGUUACUCAGAGUACUGAAUGGUCUAAAGGACACAAAGCCUUUGGGAAUAACACUUAUUAUUUCUUAGAACCUACGAAAUGAACACCUCCACUAUUCUGUAGUAUAUCUUACUG
This is a long non-coding RNA of Panthera uncia (snow leopard), 603 nucleotides long. RefSeq lists it as uncharacterized. The transcript is spliced from 4 exons. NCBI's taxonomy places the organism in Eukaryota, Metazoa, Chordata, Mammalia, Carnivora, Felidae. The record is from RefSeq and is a predicted model, not a curated record.